AUUGAACGCUGGCGGCAGGCCUAACACAUGCAAGUCGAACGAGUGGCGGACGGGUGAGUAAUGUCUGGGAAACUGCCUGAUGGAGGGGGAUAACUACUGGAAACGGUAGCUAAUACCGCAUACCAUCAGAUGUACCCAUAUGGGAUUAGCUUGUAGGUGGGGUAACGGCUCACCAAGGCGACGAUCCCUAGCUGGUCUGAGAGGAUGAUCAGCCACACUGGAACUGAGACACGGCCCAGACUCCUACGGGAGGCAGCAGUGGGGAAUAUUGCACAAUGGGCGCAAGCCUGAUGCAGCCAUGCCGCGUGGAUGAAGAAGGCCUUCGGGUUGUAAAGUACUUUCAGCGGGGAGGCGUUACCGGCAGAAGAAGCACCGGCUAACUCCGUGCCAGCAGCCGCGGUAAUUC
Molecule: ribosomal RNA, 406 nt
Filed under: uncultured bacterium
Lineage: Bacteria
Description: partial 16S ribosomal RNA
Rfam family: Bacterial small subunit ribosomal RNA
Source: RNAcentral